RNAcentral lists this long non-coding RNA (433 nucleotides) under Phoenix dactylifera (date palm). Its description in RNAcentral is "long non-coding RNA (PDAC_LNC001786)". The record is from RNAcentral. Lineage: Eukaryota; Viridiplantae; Streptophyta; Magnoliopsida; Arecales; Arecaceae.
AUAUUACUGCUUGAUUUAUCUAGUUAGAGUGUUCAUUACUUACUGGGCUGUCUAGCUCAUUAUACCAUCUCUUGUUGUUUUACAGAUUCCGAGAACUAGACUAUUGGGGAUUCAAAAUGGGAGAGCGACUGGAAGAAUUGUGGCCCAAAUUAUCUUAGAUUAGGGUUAUUUAAGUUGAAUUGAUUAUUAUGGACAUUUAUCAUGAUUAUUGGACUUCGCAAGGUUUUGUCAUUUUAAGAAUUAGGUUUCUGCAUGUUGGUCAAUUAUUGUUCCGCUGCGUAUUUAGAACUGUGAGACCUUAUGACUUGAAUCAGUCAAUGGAAUAAGAUUGCAUUUAUUCAGUUAAAUUAAUUUAGAUUUAUAAAAUUGAGAUGUUUGGUGAAGAUGCCUUGCAUGCUCGUGGGGAGAGUUUCCUACGGGUGUGUGGCGGUUG